UCCCUGGUGGUCUAGUGGUUAAGGCUCUGUGCUCCCAAUGCAAGGGGUCAGGGUUCGAUCCCUGGUCAGGGAA
Molecule: transfer RNA, 73 nt
Filed under: Bos taurus (domestic cattle)
Lineage: Eukaryota; Metazoa; Chordata; Mammalia; Artiodactyla; Bovidae
Also listed under: 6 other names
Rfam family: tRNA
About the family: Transfer RNA (tRNA) molecules are approximately 80 nucleotides in length. Their secondary structure includes four short double-helical elements and three loops (D, anti-codon, and T loops).
Source: Rfam by way of RNAcentral